AUAUGGUGGAUACGUGUUGGUCAUCUGUUAUUCCAUUAUUCAGCUAUCGUUGGCUCCUAUUGACAGCGAGUACCGUCGACCGCUCCUCCACCGCUGCUGCGUUUACCCUCUAUCUUCCUUCCUCUUACUCAAUCCACUACUGCUUUGAUUCAUAUGUUGUUCUGUCAACCAAAAAGCCAGAGCCCUGUUUCUCCAACUCUCUCCUACAGCGGGAACCACCACCACCAUCAGGUGCGGCAGCUCCUUUUUUAAUAUGAGUAUAUAUGUACCUUCAAAAAUUAGGGGGAAAAGGUGGGUCUUUCCUUUUUACUACUUCCCUUUGAUCUCUGCAAAAGCACACUCAAGUUUUGUUAAAUUCACACGCAAUUUUCCUCGGAAGCCGAAUCUGCAACCACGAUGUCCAUGGGAAGCAGGGAGUCUGAUCGGGGAAGUUCUUGAGCCAAUUCAGGGAAAUUGAGAUCGGUAGAAGCACCUUUGAGGUCUAUAGAUGCUGCAUCCUAAGCUCGAGCUGCCAUUUCAGUGGUUGGGUAUGACUAAUUUCUUUCCUUUCUGGCGAAUUUUCGACACCCAAAGGUUGUUAUCUUUCAAUUUCCCACAUGGCUCUUCUGCUUCCUCGGUUCCCUUCACUCCUCCUCUCCCCGUUCCUACUCCUCCACUCUCCUCUUUCUUUAUUCUUCUUAUUUCUUUUCUUUAAUUUGUAAUACUUUGUUCUAUAAAGCUUUUGAAAAUAUUUUGUGUUAGAAUUUUGUUUUGUGUGAUUGUAAUUUGUACAAAUUGGUUCUGCUUCACCUACAACGACAACAAGGAGAAAUGAGUCGGCCAGAGGACUCUGAAAGAUGAUUGUUGUUGUUGCUGCUAUAGAUAUGCCGGCGGAGCCUGUGGACGGAGAGUUUAAACUGGAGCUGUGCCCAAGUCAACAAAAAAUCUUCAUGGAAUACAUAAUGUUUGAUGGAGUGACUGAUGAAGAACUCGGGAAAAACUCGGGAGAUUGCUAGAGACAUUUCAAGUGGUGAGUUCUAAUCUUUAUGUACUUGCAGAAUAGGAGGAACUUCAAUCCCUUUUGUGGGUUUCGUUUAAUACAUAUACAAAAUAACCUUUGCAUUUGUUGUCUCCUUUCCUACAAUUCAUGAAUUAAUACCUUUUCAUCCAA
Molecule: non-coding RNA, 1150 nt
Organism: Malus domestica (apple)
Lineage: Eukaryota; Viridiplantae; Streptophyta; Magnoliopsida; Rosales; Rosaceae
Source: RefSeq, a predicted model, not a curated record